GCUGGCGGCGUGCUUAACACAUGCAAGUCGAACGGUGAACACGGAGCUUGCUCUGUGGGAUCAGUGGCGAACGGGUGAGUAACACGUGAGCAACCUGCCCCUGACUCUGGGAUAAGCGCUGGAAACGGCGUCUAAUACUGGAUACGAGUAGCGACCGCAUGGUCAGUUACUGGAAAGAUUUAUUGGUUGGGGAUGGGCUCGCGGCCUAUCAGCUUGUUGGUGAGGUAAUGGCUCACCAAGGCGUCGACGGGUAGCCGGCCUGAGAGGGUGACCGGCCACACUGGGACUGAGACACGGCCCAGACUCCUACGGGAGGCAGCAGUGGGGAAUAUUGCACAAUGGGCGCAAGCCUGAUGCAGCAACGCCGCGUGAGGGAUGACGGCCUUCGGGUUGUAAACCUCUUUUAGCAGGGAAGAAGCGAAAGUGACGGUACCUGCAGAAAAAGCGCCGGCUAACUACGUGCCAGCAGCCGCGGUAAUACGUAGGGCGCAAGCGUUAUCCGGAAUUAUUGGGCGUAAAGAGCUCGUAGGCGGUUUGUCGCGUCUGCUGUGAAAUCCGGAGGCUCAACCUCCGGCCUGCAGUGGGUACGGGCAGACUAGAGUGCGGUAGGGGAGAUUGGAAUUCCUGGUGUAGCGGUGGAAUGCGCAGAUAUCAGGAGGAACACCGAUGGCGAAGGCAGAUNUCUGGGCCGUAAC
RNAcentral lists this ribosomal RNA (695 nucleotides) under Microbacterium foliorum. Its description in RNAcentral is "bacterial SSU rRNA". It matches the Rfam family "Bacterial small subunit ribosomal RNA", at positions 35 to 740 of the family's 1533-position model. The record is from RNAcentral. Lineage: Bacteria; Bacillati; Actinomycetota; Actinomycetes; Micrococcales; Microbacteriaceae.